Molecule: ribosomal RNA, 103 nt
Filed under: Mannheimia haemolytica
Lineage: Bacteria; Pseudomonadati; Pseudomonadota; Gammaproteobacteria; Pasteurellales; Pasteurellaceae
Source: RNAcentral
CCCGACGACAAGAGUGCUGUGGUCCUACCUGACCCCAUACCGAACUCAGAAGUAAAACGCAGUAACGUCGAUGGUAGUGUGGUGAUUCGCCAUGUGAGAGUAG